Molecule: long non-coding RNA, 3244 nt
Filed under: Volvox carteri
Lineage: Eukaryota; Viridiplantae; Chlorophyta; Chlorophyceae; Chlamydomonadales; Volvocaceae
Description: long non-coding RNA (VCAR_LNC000122)
Source: RNAcentral
GCGGUUAUGCAGUUAUGUGGAGCGAAUAGGUAGGGAUUUGUCGUGUGUGCGCUCCUUAGGCACCGCGCAGGUAGUUGGUUUUUUCGUCGCUUGGUGUUAACCUGCGUUUGGUUUCUCGUGAUUUCGGAGCGGUUUUCACUUGCUUGGUAUCCGGUGGUACCGCUGGUUCCAACCCCGCUGGUUUUGGGACUUAAUUCGAGUAGUACCUUUGGCGCGGAAUAGGUCCCGGUUUCUCGCUGGAUCUGCAAUCCGUUGCGACAUCCCCGGUCUUUGAUUACCUGUUGGUAUCGCAGCUGUCGCUCGCCGGCCUAGGGUUGGUCCAUUCCGCAUGUCUUUGCCGGUUGCCAGGUUACCUUGUCCCAGGGUUGGUGCUACGACCUGGCUGUUUUGCAUCGCUGUGUUUGUGCGUUUUCUGUGUCGCGGUAGGCUGGGGCUCUUUAUGACUCCGUUUAUGUCGGGCUCCUGUGAGGUCAGUUCCUAGCUGCCAAGAGUUUUAUCCAAGCCCGUGCUGCUCAGCCUGAUUUUCAGUGCCGUGAACUCCGUGAGCUCCGUGUAUGUCUUGCUCGGUUAACCAAGAGCGCCCUGUGCUGGAGACAGCCCCUGCUGGCGGCGUUAUUUAUAGUAGUUGGGUGCAUUCGCAGUGCUCCGUGGCUCUGUCGGACUCUCUUUGUGUUGGCCUUUAUUGCAGGUGCUGUGUGGAUUCUUUGAGCAGUUGGCCGGUGUACCUGUUGGUUCGGAGGUGGCCCCGACCUUGCUUUGUUGUGCUGGGUUUCGUCAUCCGUAUCCCUGCUGUCAGUGCCCUGGGCGCGUGGACCGGUCGUUAUUGCAGAGCCGGUUUUCAGUGCCAGCCCUAGUUGGCCGUUUAGUCAACCCUUAGCGGGCACAUGUUUGGCAUUCUCGCGUGUCUUUCGUCCAUUCCUUCAGUGGGCGUCCGUCAGCGUUUGUUGAGGGAUCCGUCGCGUUUGUGGCCGGUGGGUCAGUCUGUGCGCGGUUGGAGAGCGCUGGUUUGACCUCGUCCUUGUGGUUUUGGCAGCGUUCUGUUUGUUCGCUCUUUUGCCUGUGUAGAGAUGGCGUGUCCGCCGUCCUUGCUGCUGGAGUAUCGUUUGGAGGUCGUUGAGGCGUUUUGCUUGGGGAGCUUUAUUUCGUGUCGGUGUGUGUGCCUGUCUGGCAGCUCUCGCGUCCUUUGUCCCUCUAGCGGCCCGUCGCGUUGCGCUGUUUUGGUGUUUUGGUGCUGCUUUGUUUGUUAUUUCCGCUAGAGGGGGUAUCUUCUCCUUUGGCAUUUACCUAUGGAGCAACAACUAAUGCGAGCUUGCGUAAGUAAGCUGGGUUAGUUGGGCGUAAGGCCCAAUGCGUAACUGUUAGACUAACUGUUUCGCAACGGCCCGUGUCCUCAGGGCCGUCAUUUAUUGCGCGCAUUAAGCUGGUUAGCUUAUCUUGUUUUUGUUGUUCAGCGCGCGCCCGCCCGCCCGCCCGUUUCUGGCGCAGCCUCGCGUUAGUUCCGUUGCGGUGUCUCUUUCUCCGUUCGUAAGGCCCGUCUUCUUCGGGCCUCUCAGUCCUUUUCUCUCUUUCAUUAUUUGUAACAGAAAAUGGCAUUUACCUAUGGAGCAACAACUAAUCGGGUUGAUGGCGUUCCUGUGCUGUCUCCUGGCGUUCCUGCGGAUGUAUGUGUGCCGAUGACUGUUACUACUGUUCCUGAUGUUGGCUUUCCUGUCCCUACUUCGGACGUUCCUGGGCCUUCGGAUGGACUUACUAAUGACGUGCUGUCUUCGUGUGAUGCGUUUCGCUCUGCUGAAGAUGAUUUACUUAAUUCGCGUGCGAAUUGUCCUGGUGCGUCUAAGACUGAAGUGUAUAAGACGAUGAAACGCGCUUGUCCUAUUGACUUCGGAUUUCCUGACGCUGCAAAGCGCGCGUCUCCGUUCCUUCGAACGAGUUGUAAUCCUAAGACAAAUUCGAGCGUCCCGUUAGUCGACUCUUCUCCUCGGGAUAAUCGUACUAUCCUUCGGUCUGAAUUUGAGCGUUUGCAGCAAUUGACCGGCAAGCAUUUUACUCUCGAUGCUUGUGCCGACAACUCUGGCAGCAAUGCGCUAUGUCCCAAAUUCAACUCUCCUAAACGAAAUUUCCUCUCCGACAGCUGUGCUGGACAACAUGUUUGGUUGCAUGCGCCAUUUAAUCAGCUUGAAGAUUUUCUGCGUCAUUACUUGCAGUGCAAAGCUAAAGCGCCGCACCUUACCUCAGGUGGUUUCCUAGUCCCUAAGUGGUUGUCUGCUCGCUGGCGUCCUUUGCUUUCAGGUAUGAAACUGUUGCAUACGUACCAACCGGGUUAUCAUUUGUUUCUCUCGCCUACCGUUUUGUCGGGAAAGCCUGUUCGAACUCAAGGGUUGCCUUGGCCUGUUGAGUUUUGGUACGAUCCUCCUGCAUCUGUUUCUCCUACCUGUGCUGUCCUUCCUGUUCCUGCGGAGCCUGUUCCCUUCUCGGUUUCUAAAGGUCUUAUCAUGCAGUUUCAAGGUUUGGUCUGCCACUCCGAUGCCACCAUCGUCAUCGAUACGGGUUGCAUGCCGGCGCACAUCCUCAACGCUGGUUUUGCCCGUCGUGUCGGUUUAUCGGUACGUCCUGCAGAUGCCUUGCCUGUUGCCAUUUCUAUGGGUGAUGGUCGACCUGCUCCUGUGACUGGGAUGGCUACCGUGCCCGUUCGCCUGCAAGGUUAUAAAGCUCUUUUGCAGUGCGCGGUUGUCGAUCUUACUCCUGGCAUUGAUUUAAUUUUAGGUGAGCCUUGGAUCGUUUCUACCGGUGCCGUGAUAGAGUUGCAUAACUCUCGCACUAGGUUGACUUCGCAUCCUGGCACGCCCGUCCUAACUUGUCCUGCUUUUUCUUCCAAGUCUCCUGAUAUUUCGCAGUGUAAUCUCAUGCAGUCAGUGCGCGAUGGCGAUGAAUUCUUCCUGUGCAUGGUUACCGCUGUCGAUCCUCCUGCGGAACCGCCUCCUCCAUCGUCUGAUACGCCACCUCCUUCUUCGCCUUUUGACGCAUUUCGUCGUCAGGUAUGGGACUCUGUUCCGGGUGAAUCUGCUGCUGAAUUGCGCUUGCGUGCGGUCCUCUUGGAGAAAGCUCACUUAUUUCCUGAGCAAUUACCGUCUAGUGUUGCGACUGUAGACCGUCGUCUUCCUGAGAUUAUUCCACUAGAACCUGGUGCUCGCCCUCCUGCGCAACGCAUGUUCCGAUACUCGGCUGCCGAGCAUGAAGAGAUGCG